GGCGAACGGGUGAGUAACACGUGGGCAACCUGCCCCUCGCAGGGGGACAACCGGAGGAAACUCCGGCUAAGUACCCCGUAAGCUCUAAGCGCCGCAUGGCGAGUAGAGGAAAGGUAGCUUCGGCUAUCCGGCGAGGGAUGGGCCCGCGGUGCAUUAGCUAGUUGGUGGGGUAACGGCCCACCAAGGCGACGAUGCGUAGCUGGUCUGAGAGGAUGAUCAGCCACACUGGGACUGAGACACGGCCCAGACUCCUACGGGAGGCAGCAGCCAGGAAUCUUGGGCAAUGGGCGAAAGCCUGACCCAGCAACACCGUGUGGGUGAUGAAGGCCUUCGGGUCGUAAAGCCCUGUUGAUAGGGACGAAGGGCGAAGGGUUAAUAGCCCCUAGCUUGACGGUACCUUUCGAGGAAGCCCCGGUAAUACGUGCCAGCCGACGCGG
This 437-nucleotide ribosomal RNA is filed under the name uncultured bacterium. RNAcentral describes it as "bacterial SSU rRNA". It matches the Rfam family "Bacterial small subunit ribosomal RNA", at positions 97 to 520 of the family's 1533-position model. The record is from RNAcentral.